This 1370-nucleotide ribosomal RNA is filed under the name uncultured bacterium. RNAcentral's name for it is "16S ribosomal RNA". It matches the Rfam family "Bacterial small subunit ribosomal RNA", at positions 29 to 1394 of the family's 1533-position model. The record is from RNAcentral.
AUGAACGCUAGCUACAGGCUUAACACAUGCAAGUCGAGGGGCAGCAUGGUCUUAGCUUGCUAAGACUGAUGGCGACCGGCGCACGGGUGAGUAACACGUAUCCAACCUGCCGUCUACUCUUGGACAGCCUUCUGAAAGGAAGAUUAAUACAAGAUGGCAUCAUGAGUCCGCAUGUUCACAUGAUUAAAGGUAUUCCGGUAGACGAUGGGGAUGCGUUCCAUUAGAUAGUAGGCGGGGUAACGGCCCACCUAGUCUUCGAUGGAUAGGGGUUCUGAGAGGAAGGUCCCCCACAUUGGAACUGAGACACGGUCCAAACUCCUACGGGAGGCAGCAGUGAGGAAUAUUGGUCAAUGGGCGAGAGCCUGAACCAGCCAAGUAGCGUGAAGGAUGACUGCCCUAUGGGUUGUAAACUUCUUUUAUAAAGGAAUAAAGUCGGGUAUGGAUACCCGUUUGCAUGUACUUUAUGAAUAAGGAUCGGCUAACUCCGUGCCAGCAGCCGCGGUAAUACGGAGGAUCCGAGCGUUAUCCGGAUUUAUUGGGUUUAAAGGGAGCGUAGAUGGAUGUUUAAGUCAGUUGUGAAAGUUUGCGGCUCAACCGUAAAAUUGCAGUUGAUACUGGAUAUCUUGAGUGCAGUUGAGGCAGGCGGAAUUCGUGGUGUAGCGGUGAAAUGCUUAGAUAUCACGAAGAACUCCGAUUGCGAAGGCAGCCUGCUAAGCUGCAACUGACAUUGAGGCUCGAAAGUGUGGGUAUCAAACAGGAUUAGAUACCCUGGUAGUCCACACGGGAAACGAUGAAUACUCGCUGUUUGCGAUAUACUGCAAGCGGCCAAGCGAAAGCGUAAGUAUUUCCACCUGGGGAGUACGCCGGCAACGGUGAAACUCAAAGGAAUUGACGGGGGCCCGCACAAGCGGAGGAACAUGUGGUUUAAUUCGAUGAUACGCGAGGAACCUUACCCGGGCUUAAAUUGCAGAUGAAUUACGGUGAAAGCCGUAAGCCGCAAGGCAUCUGUGAAGGUGCUGCAUGGUUGUCGUCAGCUCGUGCCGUGAGGUGUCGGCUUAAGUGCCAUAACGAGCGCAACCCUUGUUGUCAGUUACUAACAGGUUCCGCUGAGGACUCUGACAAGACUGCCAUCGUAAGAUGUGAGGAAGGUGGGGAUGACGUCAAAUCAGCACGGCCCUUACGUCCGGGGCUACACACGUGUUACAAUGGGGGGUACAGAGGGCCGCUACCACGCGAGUGGAUGCCAAUCCCCAAAACCUCUCUCAGUUCGGACUGGAGUCUGCAACCCGACUCCACGAAGCUGGAUUCGCUAGUAAUCGCGCAUCAGCCACGGCGCGGUGAAUACGUUCCCGGGCCUUGUACACACCGCC